RNAcentral lists this ribosomal RNA (275 nucleotides) under uncultured prokaryote. RNAcentral describes it as "partial 16S ribosomal RNA". It matches the Rfam family "Bacterial small subunit ribosomal RNA", at positions 524 to 798 of the family's 1533-position model. The record is from RNAcentral.
CACGUAGGAGGCAAACGUUAUCCGGAUUUACUGGGCGUAAAGCGCGUGUAGGUGGUUCUGUAAGUAGGGCGUGAAAGCUCCCGGCUCAACUGGGAGAGGCCGUUCUAAACUGCAGAGCUAGAGGAUGGUAGAGGGAGGUGGAAUUCCAGGUGUAGCGGUGGAAUGCGCAGAUAUCUGGAGGAACACCAGUGGCGUAGGCGGCCUCCUGGACCAUUCCUGACACUCAGACGCGAAAGCUAGGGUAGCAAACGGGAUUAGAUACCCGGGUAGUCCCU